RNAcentral lists this transfer RNA (93 nucleotides) under Candidatus Thiodiazotropha sp. (ex Codakia orbicularis). RNAcentral describes it as "tRNA-OTHER". The record is from RNAcentral. Lineage: Bacteria; Pseudomonadati; Pseudomonadota; Gammaproteobacteria; Chromatiales; Sedimenticolaceae. RNAcentral also lists the same sequence under 1 other name.
GUCCUGGUAACUUAUUGAUAAAUCACAGUUAAGAAGUGCCGGUGCGUUCUGAAAAUCCCCGUGUCGGCAGUUCGAUUCUGUCCCUGGCCACCA